This 307-nucleotide unclassified non-coding RNA is filed under the name Hevea brasiliensis (rubber tree). The record is from RNAcentral. Lineage: Eukaryota; Viridiplantae; Streptophyta; Magnoliopsida; Malpighiales; Euphorbiaceae.
UGGGUCAAUGGAGUCCACAGGUGCAUGUUCUGAUAAUCUCAUGCUGCGUAUACCUUCCAUGAUCCUUUCCCAGUUGGCAGGAGGUUGUAUUGACUCAGAAUAAACAUUGUCACUUGCAAAAUCUUCAAUUUCUGGAUGCCUGAGAAAUUUUUUAUCUGGAGAUUCUAUCUUCACCUCUUUAGCUAUCAUUUCCACUCUCCUUUUUCUCACUCUGUUCUUAGGAGCAACUCCAUCAUCUUCAGAUCCUAAAAUUAACAAUCUUUAAUGAUUUAUUACAUAAAACCCAUCUUCAUAAUUUGCAAGAAAA